Non-coding RNA from Picea glauca (white spruce), 47 nucleotides. The record is from Rfam. Lineage: Eukaryota; Viridiplantae; Streptophyta; Pinopsida; Pinales; Pinaceae.
AUAAUGGUGUCUCUAGACACCACCUCUUCUUGGAAUAAUUAAGUUAU